Engraulis encrasicolus (European anchovy) is the source of this 401-nucleotide long non-coding RNA. RefSeq lists it as uncharacterized. The transcript has 4 exons. The record is from RefSeq and is a predicted model, not a curated record. NCBI's taxonomy places the organism in Eukaryota, Metazoa, Chordata, Actinopteri, Clupeiformes, Engraulidae.
CACGUAUCCGCGGACCGCCAAUCAACGUCUCCCACCUUAUCUACAAAGGACAUGAUACUCUUGGAAAAACGGGCAAGUUCGGUAGCUCAAGGAAAGCCUGAGGUCCAGGAUGACUACACAGAAGAGAAGCUGGUGUUCUGAGUGUAACAGAUGCCAUCAUCAAUAACAGGACAAGAUGUGUCUCCCAGCAUAUGAAUCAACACCACCAAGGGGAUGAGUCAGCCAUAUUUAACAUGUCACUCAAGAGCGGUAUCGGUUGGAGCCCAGUCAGUCAAACAAGAAACUUCAAUAGGAAAACAUGACUCAUAAAAAAGCAGGCGCCGCAUCAAGACAGGCAGAGACAGGGUUGUUGCAGACAUGGUGGUGGACGGAAACUGUUGGACGUUUGGACAACCGCUGAG